RNAcentral lists this ribosomal RNA (311 nucleotides) under uncultured Thermomicrobiales bacterium. RNAcentral describes it as "SSU rRNA". It matches the Rfam family "Bacterial small subunit ribosomal RNA", at positions 1217 to 1533 of the family's 1533-position model. The record is from RNAcentral. Lineage: Bacteria; Pseudomonadati; Thermomicrobiota; Thermomicrobia; Thermomicrobiales.
CACACGUGCUACAAUGCGGCGGACAAAGCGAACCUAAAGCGCGAGCUCAUGGAAAUCGCAGAAAUCGCCGCCCAGUUCAGAUCGGAGGCUGCAACUCGCCUCCGUGAAGUUGGAAUCGCUAGUAAUCGCGGAUCAGCUACGCCGCGGUGAAUGUGUUCCUGAGCCUUGUACACACCGCCCGUCAAGUCAUGGGAGCCGGAAAUGGCCGAAGUCGCCUCGACACGGAGGUGCCUACGCCAGGUUCGGUGACUGGGACUAAGUCGUAACAAGGUAGCCGUAGGGGAACCUGCGGCUGGAUCACCUCCUUUCUA